RNAcentral lists this unclassified non-coding RNA (541 nucleotides) under Hevea brasiliensis (rubber tree). The record is from RNAcentral. Lineage: Eukaryota; Viridiplantae; Streptophyta; Magnoliopsida; Malpighiales; Euphorbiaceae.
ACCGUCUAAGCACAAACUACUUUGGCGGAGUUACAAUGAACAACAAUGUGCCAAUAAUAUUGAUAUGUGGAUUAGAAGUGCAUGUCAGUUCCGUAACCAAAGAUAUAUAUAUUUAUGCAUGGAUGGAAUGAUAAUAUAGUAAUGUACUAGAAAGAAAGUCCAAUUUUCCUUAAAAAAGCCAUAGUUAAUUGUAUGAAAAUGCUAUUAAUGCAACAAUAUUCACCCUAUAAUAACAGAAUGCAUAGAUACUCAAUCCAUAACAUGGAUAAUCUUUUGGCAUAUUCCUCAGAUGGUUAAUGGUUCCACUCAAGACAUUUAUUAUCCAGUGCUAAGCUAUCAAAUCUUUCCAUCAGAUUUCUAAGAAAGUUUUGAGUAAAUUGACCAAGUUGUAGAACUGCCCUUUAUUGAGCACACCAUGCCCAAGCAACAAGGAAAAUUUUGAAGACAAAACCAUUCACAUGUUAGAUGAGAUAUACAGCGAUGAAGAUAAAGUAAUAGGGUUUCAGUUUUGCAACAAACCUGUGGGAUUCCCGCAUAUAGA